AAAGCGUGCGAAUGGAAGAGCACGUCUAAGCAGUGAGGUGUGAUAUGAGUCAAAUGCUUAUAUCUCUAACAUUGAGCUGUGAUGGGGAGCGAAGUUUAGUAGCGAAGUGAGUGAUGUCACCCUGCCAAGAAAAGCUUCUAGCGAUAAUUUAUACUCUACCCGUACCGCAAACCGACACAGGUAGUCGAGGCGAGUAGCCUCAGGUGAGCGAGAGAACUCUCGUUAAGGAACUCGGCAAAAUGACCCCGUAACUUCGGGAGAAGGGGUGCUGAUUUAGGUCAGCCGCAGUGAAUAGGCCCAAGCAACUGUUUAUCAAAAACACAGCUCUCUGCUAAAUCGUAAGAUGAUGUAUAGGGGGUGACGCCUGCCCGGUGCUGGAAGGUUAAGAGGAGUGCUUAGCGUAAGCGAAGGUAUGAAUUGAAGCCCCAGUAAACGGCGGCCGUAACAAUAACGGUCCUAAGGUAGCGAAAUUCCUUGUCGGGUAAGUUCCGACCCGCACGAAAGGCGUAAUGAUUUGGGCACUGUCUCAACGAGAGACUCGGUGAAAUUUUAGUACCUGUGAGGAUGCAGGUUACCCGCGACAGGACGGAAAGACCCCAUGGAGCUUUACUGCAGUUUGAUAUUGAGUGUCUGUGCCACAUGUACAGGAUAGGUAGGAACCAAUGAGAUCGGGACGCCAGUUUCGAUGGAGGCGAUGUUGGGAUACUACCCUUGUGUUAUGGCCACUCUAACCCGGUAGGUUUAUCAUCUACGGAGACAGUGUCUGACGGGCAGUUUGACUGGGGCGGUCGCCUCCUAAAGAGUAACGGAGGCGCCCAAAGGUUCCCUCAGAUUGGUUGGAAAUCAAUCGCAGAGUGUAAAGGUAUAAGGGAGCUUGACUGCGAGAGCUACAACUCGAGCAGGGACGAAAGUCGGGCUUAGUGAUCCGGUGGUACCGUAUGGAAGGGCCAUCGCUCAACGGAUAAAAGCUACCCUGGGGAUAACAGGCUUAUCUCCCCCAAGAGUUCACAUCGACGGGGAGGUUUGGCACCUCGAUGUCGGCUCGUCGCAUCCUGGGGCUGUAGUCGGUCCCAAGGGUUGGGCUGUUCGCCCAUUAAAGCGGCACGCGAGCUGGGUUCAGAACGUCGUGAGACAGUUCGGUCCCUAUCCGUCGCGGGCGAAGGAAAUUUGAGAGGAUCUGCUCCUAGUACGAGAGGACCAGAGUGGACUUACCGCUGGUGUACCAGUUGUUCUGCCAAGAGCAUCGCUGGGUAGCUAUGUAGGGAAGGGAUAAACGCUGAAAGCAUCUAAGUGUGAAACCCACCUCAAGAUGAGAUUUCCCAUGAUUUUAUAUCAGUAAGAGCCCUGAGAGAAGAUCAGGUAGAUAGGUUAGGAGUGGAAGUUGUGUGAGCAAUGGAGCGGACUAAUACUAAUAGCUCGAGGACUUAUCCA
This 1431-nucleotide ribosomal RNA is filed under the name metagenome. Its description in RNAcentral is "bacterial LSU rRNA". It matches the Rfam family "Bacterial large subunit ribosomal RNA", at positions 1487 to 2925 of the family's 2925-position model. The record is from RNAcentral.